RNAcentral lists this ribosomal RNA (465 nucleotides) under uncultured bacterium. RNAcentral's name for it is "partial 16S ribosomal RNA". It matches the Rfam family "Bacterial small subunit ribosomal RNA", at positions 28 to 507 of the family's 1533-position model. The record is from RNAcentral.
GACGAACGCUGGCGGCGUGCUUAACACAUGCAAGUCGAACGGAAAGGCCCUGCUUGCAGGGUAUUCGAGUGGCGAACGGGUGAGUAACACGUGGGUGAUCUGCCCUGCACUUCGGGAUAAGCCUGGGAAACUGGGUCUAAUACCGGAUAGGAGCCAUUUUUAGUGUGAUGGUUGGAAAGUUUUUUCGGUGUAGGAUGAGCUCGCGGCCUAUCAGCUUGUUGGUGGGGUAAUGGCCUACCAAGGCGGCGACGGGUAGCCGGCCUGAGAGGGUGGACGGCCACAUUGGGACUGAGAUACGGCCCAGACUCCUACGGGAGGCAGCAGUGGGGAAUAUUGCACAAUGGGCGCAAGCCUGAUGCGGCGACGCCGCGUGGGGGAUGACGGCCUUCGGGUUGUAAACUGCUUUCGCUAGGGACGAAGCUUUUUGUGACGGUACCUAGAUAAGAAGCACCGGCUAACUACGUG